Molecule: ribosomal RNA, 446 nt
Filed under: uncultured bacterium
Lineage: Bacteria
Description: bacterial SSU rRNA
Rfam family: Bacterial small subunit ribosomal RNA
Source: RNAcentral
GCCAGACUCCUACGGGAGGCAGCAGUGGGGAAUAUUGCACAAUGGGGGGAACCCUGAUGCAGCGACGCCGCGUGGGUGAAGGAGUAUUUCGGUAUGUAAAGCCCUAUCAGCAGGGAAGAACAAUGACGGUACCUGACUAAGAAGCACCGGCUAAAUACGUGCCAGCAGCCGCGGUAAUACGUAUGGUGCAAGCGUUAUCCGGAUUUACUGGGUGUAAAGGGAGCGUAGACGGCCAGACAAGUCUGAAGUGAAAAUCCAGCGCUUAACGUUGGAAGUGCUUUGGAAACUGCCGGGCUAGAGUGCAGGAGGGGCAGGCGGAAUUCCUGGUGUAGCGGUGAAAUGCGUAGAUAUCAGGAGGAACACCGGUGGCGAAGGCGGCCUGCUGGACUGCAACUGACGUUGAGGCCCGAAAGCGUGGGGAGCAAACAGGAUUAGAUACCCGAGUA